This 229-nucleotide ribosomal RNA is filed under the name uncultured bacterium. RNAcentral describes it as "partial 16S ribosomal RNA". It matches the Rfam family "Bacterial small subunit ribosomal RNA", at positions 568 to 796 of the family's 1533-position model. The record is from RNAcentral.
UGCGUAGGCGGACUAAUAAGUCAGGGGUGAAAUCUCUCGGCUCAACCGGGAAACUGCCAUUGAUACUGUUGAUCUUGAGUUCGGUUGAGGUAGGCGGAAUGUGUAAUGUAGCGGUGAAAUGCUUAGAUAUUACACAGAACACCAAUUGCGUAGGCAGCUUACUAGACCGACACUGACGCUGAGGCACGAAAGCGUGGGGAGCGAACAGGAUUAGAUACCCUGGUAGUCC